RNAcentral lists this transfer-messenger RNA (357 nucleotides) under Akkermansiaceae bacterium. It matches the Rfam family "transfer-messenger RNA". From Rfam's summary of the family: Bacterial tmRNA, also known as 10Sa RNA or SsrA, is named for its dual tRNA and mRNA-like properties. The record is from RNAcentral. Lineage: Bacteria; Pseudomonadati; Verrucomicrobiota; Verrucomicrobiia; Verrucomicrobiales; Akkermansiaceae.
GGGGGCGUCUGGUUUCGACGGGAUGUUUGAUAUGCUGGUCGCACGUAGAGGUUGAUCGGCUGGCCUCUUAAAAAGCCGCUCAAAACAAAUAAAUGCAGACUCUAACGAGCUCGCACUUGCUGCUUAAUUGACGGCAACGCCUGAACCCCGACGCCUACUGAGGGAGAAGGCGACUACCUAGCAGGCUGGAGGGAAAGUCGGGAAACCGGGCUUCCCCUCGAGACAAAACAGGUUCCUAGGACAAGCAACGCCGCAUGAAGGCCUAGCCGACCCGAAAUACCAGACAUCAUGCUAAACGUGUAGAAGCCAAUAUUGACGGUGUUCCGGACAGGGGUUCGACUCCCCUCGCCUCCACUU